This 446-nucleotide ribosomal RNA is filed under the name uncultured bacterium. RNAcentral describes it as "bacterial SSU rRNA". It matches the Rfam family "Bacterial small subunit ribosomal RNA", at positions 28 to 455 of the family's 1533-position model. The record is from RNAcentral.
GAUGAACGCUGGCGGCGUGCUUAACACAUGCAAGUCGAACGGGAAACAUUUUAUUGAAGCUUCGGCAGAUUUAGUUUGUUUCUAGUGGCGGACGGGUGAGUAACGCGUGGGUAACCUGCCUCACACUGGGGGAGUAACAGUCAGAAAUGACUGCUAAUACCGCAUAAGCGCACGAGACCGCAUGGUUUUGUGUGAAAACUACCGGUGGUGUGAGAUGGACCCGCGUAAGAUUAGCUAGUUGGUAAGGUAAAAGCUUACCAAGGCGACGAUCUUUAGCUGGUCUGAGAGGAUGAUCAGCCGACACUGGGACUGAGACACGGCCCAGACUCCUACGGGAGGCAGCAGUGGGGAAUAUUGGACAAUGGGCGAAAGCCUGAUCCAGCAAUGCCGCGUGAGUGAUGAAGGCCUUAGGGUUGUAAAGCUCCUUUACCAGGGAUGAUAAUGAC